This 460-nucleotide ribosomal RNA is filed under the name uncultured bacterium. RNAcentral describes it as "partial 16S ribosomal RNA". It matches the Rfam family "Bacterial small subunit ribosomal RNA", at positions 338 to 795 of the family's 1533-position model. The record is from RNAcentral.
CCUACGGGUGGCUGCAGUGAGGAAUAUUGGUCAAUGGACGAGAGUCUGAACCAGCCAAGUAGCGUGAAGGAUGACUGCCCUAUGGGUUGUAAACUUCUUUUAUAUGGGAAUAAAACGUUCCACGUGUGGGAUUUUGUAUGUACCAUAUGAAUAAGGAUCGGCUAACUACGUGCCAGCAGCCGCGGUAAUACGGAGGAUCCGAGCGUUAUCCGGAUUUAUUGGGUGUAAAGGGAGCGUAGGUGGAUUGUUAAGUCAGUUGUGAAAGUUUGCGGCUCAACCGUAAAAUUGCAGUUGAAACUGGCAGUCUUGAGUACAGUAGAGGUGGGCGGAAUUCGUGGUGUAGCGGUGAAAUGCUUAGAUAUCACGAAGAACUCCGAUUGCGAAGGCAGUUCACUGGACUGCAACUGACACUGAGGCUCGAAAGUGUGGGUAUCAAACAGGAUUAGAUACCCCUGUAGUC